CUCCCGCUAGCUCAACAGGAUAGAGCAAUGGCCUUCUAAGCCAUAGGUUUCAGGUUCGACCCCUGAGCGGGAGGCCA
This 77-nucleotide transfer RNA is filed under the name Pseudomonadales bacterium. RNAcentral's name for it is "tRNA-Arg". It matches the Rfam family "tRNA". From Rfam's summary of the family: Transfer RNA (tRNA) molecules are approximately 80 nucleotides in length. Their secondary structure includes four short double-helical elements and three loops (D, anti-codon, and T loops). RNAcentral also lists the same sequence under 3 other names. The record is from RNAcentral. Lineage: Bacteria; Pseudomonadati; Pseudomonadota; Gammaproteobacteria; Pseudomonadales.